GACGAACGCUGGCGGCGUGCUUAACACAUGCAAGUCGAACGGAAAGGCCCUGCUUUUGUGGGGUGCUCGAGUGGCGAACGGGUGAGUAACACGUGAGUAACCUGCCCUUGACUUUGGGAUAACUUCAGGAAACUGGGGCUAAUACCGGAUAGGAGCUCCUGCUGCAUGGUGGGGGUUGGAAAGUUUCGGCGGUUGGGGAUGGACUCGCGGCUUAUCAGCUUGUUGGUGGGGUAGUGGCUUACCAAGGCUUUGACGGGUAGCCGGCCUGAGAGGGUGACCGGCCACAUUGGUACUGAGAUACGGACCAGAGUCCUACGGGAGGCAGCAGUGGGGAAUAUUGCACAAUGGGCGGAAGCCUGAUGCAGCAACGCCGCGUGCGGGAUGACGGCCUUCGGGUUGUAAACCGCUUUCGCCUGUGACGAAGCGUGAGUGACGGUAAUGGGUAAAGAAGCACCGGCUAACUACGUG
RNAcentral lists this ribosomal RNA (468 nucleotides) under uncultured bacterium. Its description in RNAcentral is "partial 16S ribosomal RNA". It matches the Rfam family "Bacterial small subunit ribosomal RNA", at positions 28 to 507 of the family's 1533-position model. The record is from RNAcentral.